GAGUUUGAUCAUGGCUCAGAUUGAACGCUGGCGGCAGGCCUAACACAUGCAAGUCGAACGGUAACAGGAAGCAGCUUGCUGUUUCGCUGACGAGUGGCGGACGGGUGAGUAAUGUCUGGGAAACUGCCUGAUGGAGGGGGAUAACUACUGGAAACGGUAGCUAAUACCGCAUAACGUCGCAAGACCAAAGAGGGGGACCUUCGGGCCUCUUGCCAUCGGAUGUGCCCAGAUGGGAUUAGCUAGUAGGUGGGGUAACGGCUCACCUAGGCGACGAUCCCUAGCUGGUCUGAGAGGAUGACCAGCCACACUGGAACUGAGACACGGUCCAGACUCCUACGGGAGGCAGCAGUGGGGAAUAUUGCACAAUGGGCGCAAGCCUGAUGCAGCCAUGCCGCGUGUAUGAAGAAGGCCUUCGGGUUGUAAAGUACUUUCAGCGGGGAGGAAGGGAGUAAAGUUAAUACCUUUACUCAUUGACGUUACCCGCAGAAGAAGCACCGGCUAACUCCGUGCCAGCAGCCGCGGUAAUACGGAGGGUGCAAGCGUUAAUCGGAAUUACUGGGCGUAAAGCGCACGCAGGCGGUUUGUUAAGUCAGAUGUGAAAUCCCCGGGCUCAACCUGGGAACUGCAUCUGAUACUGGCAAGCUUGAGUCUCGUAGAGGGGGUAGAAUUCCAGGUGUAGCGGUGAAAUGCGUAGAGAUCUGGAGGAAUACCGGUGGCGAAGGCGGCCCCCUGGACGAAGACUGACGCUCAGGUGCGAAAGCGUGGGGAGCAAACAGGAUUAGAUACCCUGGUAGUCCACGCCGUAAACGAUGUCGACUUGGAGGUUGUGCCCUUGAGGCGUGGCUUCCGGAGCUAACGCGUUAAGUCGACCGCCUGGGGAGUACGGCCGCAAGGUUAAAACUCAAAUGAAUUGACGGGGGCCCGCACAAGCGGUGGAGCAUGUGGUUUAAUUCGAUGCAACGCGAAGAACCUUACCUGGUCUUGACAUCCACGGAAGUUUUCAGAGAUGAGAAUGUGCCUUCGGGAACCGUGAGACAGGUGCUGCAUGGCUGUCGUCAGCUCGUGUUGUGAAAUGUUGGGUUAAGUCCCGCAACGAGCGCAACCCUUAUCCUUUGUUGCCAGCGGUCCGGCCGGGAACGUCAAAGGAGACUGCCAGUGAUAAACAGGAGGAAGUGGGGGUGACGUCAAGUCAUCAUGGCCCUUACGACCAGGGCUACACACGUGCUACAAUGGCGCAUACAAAGAGAAGCGACCUCGCGAGAGCAAGCGGACCUCAUAAAGUGCGUCGUAGUCCGGAUUGGAGUCUGCAACUCGACUCCAUGAAGUCGGAAUCGCUAGUAAUCGUGGAUCAGAAUGCCACGGUGAAUACGUUCCCGGGCCUUGUACACACCGCCCGUCACACCAUGGGAGUGGGUUGCAAAAGAAGUAGGUAGCUUAACCUUCGGGAGGGCGCUUACCACUUUGUGAUUCAUGACUGGGGUGAAGUCGUAACAAGGUAACCGUAGGGGAACCUGCGGUUGGAUCACC
RNAcentral lists this ribosomal RNA (1527 nucleotides) under Shigella flexneri K-1770. RNAcentral's name for it is "bacterial SSU rRNA". It matches the Rfam family "Bacterial small subunit ribosomal RNA". The record is from RNAcentral. Lineage: Bacteria; Pseudomonadati; Pseudomonadota; Gammaproteobacteria; Enterobacterales; Enterobacteriaceae.